UGGCUCCGCCGUCUGAGGGGCUGUGUUCGGAGCUGGAGUCGCGAGCCUGCGUGGUGGGCAGUGGGGCUGAAACCUGCCCCACUGUGGGGCCCCAGGCUGUGCGGUCUCGAUUUCGGUCUGACAGGCUGUGGGGCUAAAACUUGCCUGUGACGGGCUAUAGGGGCUGCUUGGCUCCCAGGACCACAGAGCUGGAAGUGACGGGCCGAGCCCAGGAUGCUGUGCUGGGGGCUUCUGCUGUGAUGCUGGAUGGAGACCACACCUCAGAGGCUGUGCCUGUGUUUAUCUUCUCUCCUGGGUGCCAACGUGACAGUGAUAACCUCAGCUGCAGAUUAGAAGUGCUUUGUUUGUGAUUCUUGGGUGCUCUGCACUUGAUGCAUCGUCUCCCGACAGAUGCAGGGCAAACUCCGCUCCUCUCCUCUGGCCUGGGUUGCAGUGAUGGAUUAAGUAGAACAGACACUUGGUAGCAGCGAGUGCUGGUUCAUCUGGAAAUAGAGUGAGAAGCGGUCUGAAGGGAGGAGACCACCUACUCAUCCACAAAACAAUGAGCUGCUGCUGGUGGCAGCAAGAUGAAGUGUUUCCUUCCUGAUGCUUUGAGCUCCCCCUGAUUUGGAUCAUUGUGUUACCACGUUUGAUUAGCAUGGCUCAGUCUCUGUCUGGAUCUUACAAGGAAGCUUGUCUGUAUUAAAAACAGGCUGAAGUUUGGAGCAUCAGCAGAGUCCAAGGAAUGAGCCAGGACUCCACUGGCCUCCCUCACCCUGCCAUUGGAUGAGUUUUCCUUUGGAGUUUGGGGAAGACUCACCCAGUGGUCACUUUCCCUGUGGCUCCCACCAGCUCAAGCCAGUGUCACUGUCACUCAGUUGUGUGAAUGGCUGUGGAGGAAAAUUCCCUUCCCUGUGUACAAUCUGGGAUCUGUCCUGUGUCAGCUGAACGUGAUUUGCUGCCUUCAGCCCCUCAGAGCCUGGUCUGCCUCUCACUAGCCCAGCCUGGGAUUGGCAUUCACUGUCAGGGACCUGCUGUCUGCAUUCAGAGCAUGGGACGAGUCAGCCUGGCCUUCCCCGCUCUGCGCCUGGGGACAAGGCAGGUCAUGACUUAUGCAUUUUAUCGUUACAAAGAGAAUUUCCUCUAGAUGUGUGCAAUAAGACAGUGGUGCUGACCUGUGAUCCUGGCACUGAGCAGCGUUAAAGACUCCCCUUUGCAGGUAAUAAGCAGCAAAUGUACAUAUUUUGGGGAGAUCUGAAUAUUUUUUUCUCUUUUUAAGACUGCUGUCUUCAUAGGCCAGACUUAAUUAACAGACCUCAUUAUUUCCUGAAAUGUAACUUGACUUCUAUUGAAUGAGAAUUGUUCAGUGGAUGGGAAGCAGCAGAGCAGUGCUGCAAUAUUCAUAUUGUUUUAAUUGCAACAUUAACAUUUCAUGCCGCUCCUGGCACACUUUCAGGUGCGGCCCUUUAGCUCGAUGCAACACUGUGAAAGGUUGGAUAAGAGCAAUUAGGAUAGAGUGGCUGGAUUUCUGGAUUUUCUUUUUUUUCCCCCUUCUAUUUUAAUGAACAUAAGCUUGAAUUCAGUCCCCAUCCCCCCUUUUGUUGGUCAGAACGGGAAGUCACCACCCCUGGAGUGUAAAUCCCUUUUUUUUUUGAGUAAAGGAUGUGCUGUAGCACAUGUUUAAAUUGUCCUUAGCCCCACAGGUACAAGUGAUACAUGAUUCACCAGGCUGAAGGCACCUCCUGGGACUUGACCUUUACUAGGUGAAUCAGAGAAGUCCCAAAUUGUGUCUGGCCAGCUGGGAUAGUGUCACAAAUGAGCUGGAGGGAAAAAGGUUAUUUCUCACUUCUCAGUUUCUGCCAGGGCUCUGGAAUGCCUGAGGCUGGAAACGACACUCCAAACAGAUAACAACUGGGUUAUCAGUGGAGAUCCUAAAUGAGCACAGGGAUCACCCUGCUCUAUCCCCAAAUUGCACACAGGGUUUGGGUUUCUGACAGAGGGGUCAGAGAGAGCUGAAAUGCUGGGCUCAGCCUUAGCAAGGUUGUGUCACACUGGCUGAUGUGGCAAUGUUAAUUGACUCUGAGGGAGAACCAGGAAGUUGUUGUAUCCUUUUCAGAAAGAAGGAGGGUUUCUGAGGCUCGCUCUUUCCUCUUGGGGGAAGAACACCCAUGCUGCUGCCUGCCAGCCCCGUGCUGGCACUGACAGGUCUGUGCUGGGACUGGUGGGCAGCAAGCACCUGUGUGUGGAGGAAUGAGCUUCCUCUCACUCACAAGUUCCACCCAUCAGUCAAGAGCUAAUGAGCAGCUUGAUGUGUAAGUGAUCCUGCUGAGAGCUCACCAGGCGCUGCUCCGAUUCUGGGAUGUCUUCCUGGCAUUUCCUGCCAGCAGUCUGUGGAUAAAACAUCUUUUCUGGAAGGUGAAAUCUCUGUCCACACAGUGGAGAGGCAAUGGGAGAGUUGUGGGGGCGAGGGAGCUGCUCAGCCCAUCAGUUCUCCCCAUUGGAGCUGGGCAUGUCACUUCCAUUUUAGGCAGCAGCUGAACUCAUCCAUAAAUCUGGGAGGGCAAUUAAGGUUGGAAAUGCAGAAGGACCUCAGCUUGGUCUCUUGAAGAAGGAUGAGGGAAGGGUCCACCUUCCAUUUCCAUGGACUUCCCAAAGGCUAACAUGCCAUUUAGCUGGCUGGCUCUCCUAUCAGCCAAACAGGCCUGAAACCUUCUCCUGUUGGUGCUAUGUGCAGUGGGAUCCAUGAAAUCUCAUCUUCUGUGGAUGUACCGUUUGGAUUUGGAGUCUCUGGUGUCCAGUAAGUUAUUAGUGCUGAAUGGAGCAGCUCCCUUUCCUGGGAUAUUUAUAGCUUCUCUCCCACACAAAUUGUCUGAUGUCUAAUAAGGGAUGAUACACUACAGUUUGGAAGGUGCUAAUAAUGUCUCUCCUCUGUUUGGUAAUCUGUUCCCAUGAAAUUUAUAGACUCUGACUGUCUCCGAGACCUCUGUUGCUCUGUCACAUCAGCUUGAAAUCUGUUUGCGGUGUUAGAAGUUGCGAGGGAGUGGGCAGAGGACAGACUGAUGCAGCAGGAUGUGCUCCUUGGGAAAUCAGGCUGAAAAUGCGCAGAUCUGGGGCCGGGGGCAGCUGUGGCUCGGAUCACGGGAGCCUCGUGUUUGGGAAAGCAAUCCGCUUGUGUGGGAGGAAGGUGAUGAGCUCCGAGCGUUGGAGCCGCCUGGGGCGAGCCGCAGGUACCGAGCGUGGCCUCUCGUGGGAAGCGGCCCCCGCGGACGAUGAACGAGGCAGCCCAGAGCUCCUGGCUGGUGUGAAGAAUUGCCUGGCUAAAGGAUAAUGAAUGUCACAGCAAGAGACAGAGCGUUUCUCUGAGGCCAUUCAUCCCCUUUAUCACCCUGCUAACAAGCCCCAGAGCGCCUUUAGAGAGACUUCUCCGGAGCAGCAGCAUCCCUCAGCCGUGCUGCUGCCUGGGUGCUGGGGCUCAGGGAUGCUGCAUGUGGCAGGAGCACUCGGCAGGAAAACCACGGACCAUCCCCCAGAUUAGCAGCCCUGGGUUUGGGUCUCUGCUCUGGGGACCAGGCCUUGGCUUUGGUUUGGCUGUUGUGGAGACCAUGCCCUCCUUCAGGCAUAGUGCCCCCUGAGAGAUCCAGAUGUAAAAGCCAAGCAUCCAUCUUUAUUUAAGUACUUCUGGGCAGCACCUGCAGCACCCUUUGGAGGAUUGCUCCAUUCUAACUCCCAGCUUGCCUAAGAUUUAGGAUUUGUAAGAUUUAUCCAAGACCCAAGAGGAGUUUGGGGCCGCCAGCACGUAGGAAGUCUCCAAGCAUUUUAAAAGGAAGCUAACAUGGCAGAUUGAAAAAUUUCCCUUCUUGAGGCUUCAGUGACUAAGUUUGGAGCCAGACAGAGGAAUCUCACCAUUAAAUGUCGAGUUGAAGUGAAACACAAUACAUCACCUUCCUCGUGGGCUGCCAUUCAGCCACGAGUAACAGAGAUUAGCCUUCAAUCACACGAAGGCUGGAGCUGAAGGAAACCUUCCCGAGGACACGCUGGAGAAACAUUUUCAUUAGCAGAGGAGAACAUGACGGAGAUGAAGUGGCCCUUCACCUCGGCUGCCAGACCUCUCGCCUGCCUGGUGUUAACAGGAAUGCUAACCAAGGAGCUGGGGCCAGCUGCAGUGUUCUGAGUGCUGUCUGCAUCCAGAUGUGAGGAACAGCUGUGGCACAGCAAAGCAGCACUUUUAUAGUCUGGUGGGGGUGGUCUUGGUUUUCCUUCUGCCUAUGAGCUCUCACUGCUAGAAGCAAACUCUCAGCUUAGGGGAGAAAACGUGUGCUAGGGCACAUACCUGAGUGGGUACCCUGGCAUGGGCCAGGAAAACAAUGUCCUUGGGUGAUAAUGUCCAUGGGGCCAGGAGGUAUCACAGCCUCUGCCUCCUGCAAUGCAUUUUGCAAAUUUAACAGGACUGCCUCGGUGGUAGUAGAGACUUUCUCUGCUCCAUGGAAAGCUGUUCCACAGCUCUUUGCUCUUGCUCUACAUCCCCCCAAGGCAGUUGAGGUGCCCAGGAUUCACUUCUGCUAUUGAUGUUGACGAAAUACCCCCUGGACCCCAGCUGGGUGCCUGGCACAGACCUGUCUGUCCCAGUUACUGGGAAUUAACCAACAGGAUCCCUGCAGCUCUGUCUGCCGUCCCCCACCACCUCACCUCCCCGGGGCUGGCGUGCUCCUGACAAAGGCAGGCUCCAUCUCUUUCAGUCACAGCUGAAGGAUGCCUUGCCUGCUCCUAUCUUGCAGGUUGGAGGGAAAUCAUUUUAAUUUGUGUGGCACAUUCCUUUGGGCGUAAGUUGAGGGAAGAGAAGGAAAAAAAAAAUCCAAAAGAAGCUCUGGCCGUUGUGAGUAUUUUUAGUUGUUUGCAAAGGACCAUUAAUAUAUCUUUCUCUUUUUUUUCCAGCUAGGGAAUUGGUUUGGAACAUCAGAACAAAUGGCUGCUGGUUUUGAUGCAUUUUCAUGUUAAGUUACCUCUCAUGUCGCCCUCCACCAUUUCAGAACUGAGAGCAGCCAAAAUGAGAGGAAAACAUGGCUCCUGAGUAAUUUUUCCCCCUAUGAUGCCUUCACCUUUCUUGUAUUCCCUUUUCUCCUACGAUCUCAGCUGGCUGAGAUUCACUGCCAGCCUAUUGAAAGGAAAGGCACGUGCUGGCUUGUGGAGGGAGAGAGACCUGAGACAGGAUAAAUCUGUAUGCAAUGAGAAUGGGGGGAAGCAAGUCAGCUGCUCUGACACUUUUAUUAUGGAGCCAGGCUGCUUGGGGAUGAAUCUUUCUUGAAACGUGUUACUGGAUGACAUUUCUGCCAGGUCUCAGCAGUAACCUUCACCAAGCCUUGCUGCCCAGCCCUGUGCUUGCCUUUUCCUGGGACAAAGAGAAUGAAUAUCCACUGGAAAUGCCACAGGCAGCAGGGAUCAAUGGGGCUUAAUGCACCUCCAGUGAGUCUGAAGGCACCUGGACUUUCUCACCAGAAGCUCUUCAGGCUUUGGUGACUUCAGCUUAUUUGCUGUAUGUGUUGUUUUGCAAAGGAGGUGUGGGCUCCUACAUCUGUUUCUUACUACAGAAUCAAAGAUGAUGCGGCAGAGACCAAAAUGAAAUUCUCCUCGAAGCUGUCCAGGAGGAUGGAUAACUGCAAGAAAAUAUUAUUCCAUGGCUCUGGAAAAGAAAUAUCUAUUUGUUUAGUAACCUGGUAAUGAGGUGCUGGCUCUGCUCCAUGCAGAGGCUGGAAGCCAUGAGAGAUUGGGGGUUACAAAGAGGGCUGGGCAGAGUUUGCUGCCCUCUCGGCUCCUUUCCUGUAUCACUGUCAACUUAGAUUUCACAUCAAGAGGGUGAUGUUAUGGCUGGCGGUGACAACAGCAGAAUGUCACUGGCAGAGGUGAAAUCUUUCCCUCCGUGAGGGUAAUUCUUCCUUCCCUUUCCCCUUCCCCAUGGCUUGCACUGGGACCCUCUGGCUCCUGGUGCUGAGCAGGGCAGGCAGGCAUGCUGCUCAGGGGUCAGCAUCUAUUGUGCUGAGCUUCCUGCUGUCUGGGUGAGUGGCUCUGUGUCACUGAUGCCUCUUGGCUGCAUGGUGACCUGGGACAGAGGGAAACCCCUUGUCACUGCCUGAAACAAACUGGGGCCAUUGGAAGCUGCUGUCAUGGCAGCGUUGCACAGAGUGGUCCUCUGCCAUGCUGGGAGGCUUGUUCCAGCAGGAGGUCUGCCAAGGAUGUUCCUCCAUGGCCCUCGGGGUCCUAUGCUCCUUAGGGCCAGGCCUAAGCUAGGUCCAGCUUAGUUAGGCAGACCUUAUAUGUUAAUGGUUCAUGUUCUCUGCAGGCUGUCUCUCAUCUCCUCUGAGCAGGAGCUGAUCUUGUAGAAAGGUGCCUGUGCUCACCUGCUCCAGCAGCCCCUCUACCAGCAUCUGUCCCCAAGGGCCUGUUCAGCAAAGCCUUGGUGUUGUUCUGGGUCCAGUUUUCAUUUUUCAGCUGGUUAUGGAGAAGAGGAUGAAGAGACCUGCUGCCACUAGGCCACAGUAGAAAACAGAGGAAGGGGACUGGCCUUUUAGUGUGCUUAAAGAUCCAAAAAUUUAAUCUGAUCCUGCUUCUCUCUCAGCCCUGAGCCUGUUGUAUCUUUUCCAGCUGUUGCCUGAGACAUUUUUUUUGUUUUGCUAUUUUUUUCUUGUUCCCUUUUUACCCUCACUUUAUGAAAAAUGGCUUUCUCAUCUGCAUCUGUCAGGAGUCUGCCUGAGCUGGGUGUACGGCUCAGUGAAUAUACAAAUGUGCGGUUGGGUCGUGGCCCCCCUGACAGGCCGGAGAUGGAUUCCAAACAUGCAGGGAAAAGGGCUUCUGCUGCCUCUCAUGGUUGUUUUUCUUAUCCCAAGGAGGUGUGAGAAUCGCCUUUGGGAGCAGCGCUUCCUUCUGCUCCUGCUCUGCCUUACCAAGGAUCAGUUCUCUCUCAUCCAUCAUCAGGUGACCAGCACUGUGGGGCUCUGCGAGGAGGAGUUCACCAUCUAUGCUGAGUAAGUGCAGGGUCACUCAGGUGCCCAAAAGGAGCUGACAGCCUGCCCUGACACCCACGGAUUUGCUGAGCUGCUCCUGCCUCUUGGCUUUCUGCAGGCUGGUACGUGAGCUGCUUCCCUCACCGCUAGGUACAGAGAAGCUUACAGCCAGGUGGGCUCAGAGGAGCAGGCAGGCAGAAAAUGAAAUAACUCUAAUAACAUCCACACUCUUGCCACAGCUACCUGGUCAAGGAGAGGAGGUUUCUGGGAGGGCAGACCCCCACUUUGGCAGGAAGAGAGAGCAGGCAGCUUGAGCUGAGCUCAUUUUUCAACAAGCAGAUGGAUGUUCAGUGGGGACCCACGAAAACCCUCUCACUCCGGGCUGCAAGCCCUCCAAACCAAAGUAGUGUGCUGACAUGGAAAAAAGCAUCGCAUCAUUGAUGCUCAAGCCUGAAUUGCUUCUUCCACUCGAUUCAGGACACGGCAACAGCCUCCUCCUGCCAGCAGCUCCCAUGAGCAUCCAGCUGCACGCCUGCAACCAGGCGAGGAGGGAUCUGGAGCUGUGGAGCCACGAGGAAGGCGAGCGAUGGCAGAUUCCUCCGGCAUUUCCACCCCGCGGGGCUCUUGGCGAGCGAGCGCUCGUGUGCUUUGAAAGCUCUUAGUGCUCCUGCAGGUGGGAGCCAAUUUGUCUGCUUUCCUGCCCAGGUGCCAUCUGUUUGUAGGAUUGCCUGUGCGGUGGAUGAGCACGGCGGGGAUGGCAAAGGGAAAAGGGCUGCUGGGGUGGGAGAGAUGAGCCUAAAACUUUCCUUGGGUAUCUUCAGCACUUCUGGCUGCCGUUGUUCCUUCUCCUCUGCACCGCGGCAGGGAAAUCACAGCCUGUCAUUUGCUGUUCCUGGAGCGUGAUGGGGAGCUGAGGCACCGCUAAUAGCGAACCAUCAUUUUAAUGCUAAUUUCCUACCAUUAGCUCAGGCUGGGGGAGGCUCAGCCUGGGUGGAGGGAAACCAUUAACAGAUGGAGAAAGGGGGGAUGUGUGGGGAUUUGCUGCACCCCCAGAAGGGAUUUCCAAAGGGCAGAUGACUAACUACCACUGGGAAAAUUGGUAGGAGGCACUGGGGUCAGUCCGUGGUGGAUGUAUGGGAGGGAGGAAGAGCAAUGGCUUGUUCCAAAUCAUCUUCCUAUAGGGAUUUCUUGAGUGCUUCAGACUUUGGCUUGAAUUUGGUGUUUGCUGCUUGUUGCCAGCCCUCUGUGCCCUGUGACCCAAGGGAUGCUCAGAGCGCUGGCAGGGCUGCAGCUGGUGGCACCGCUGUCCUCCCAACAAAGGAGACAAGCAGGGCUGGGCUUAGCCUGGACAGUCAUGUUGGGUGAUGGGCUUCAAAGCAAGUUUGAAGCUGUUCUUGAGAUACCCAAGAGCUAAUAAAAAGAAAUCUGCCCUUUUGCCAUGGGAACAAGGUCAGCUGUCCCAAGGUGCAGAGCGGACAGGAGAAUCCAGGGGCUCAGUUUGGAGUCAUGAAGGAAACUCAACCAUUUCCCUGCCCUUUCCAGAGCUGGUAGUCCCCACAUCCAGCCUCUUGGUCAGUCUCUCCUAGCCAUGCUGGCAAAGUGGAAGAGCCUGGGCUGGUGUAGGUGCCUGGAGCUCUGGGGGAGUUUGAAGAAAGAUGACUGGCUGCAGGACUGUAAGGCCUGUUUGGGCAGCAGUCAGAGAGGUUCCUCUAUCAUUUUUAGACCAGCAUGGAAACAUUGUGACUAAAGGAAUGAGAGCUCAGAUGCUGUGUCUGUCUGGAAAGAAACUGGUUGUCUACUAAUGAGGGACAGCAUUGUUUGAAGUCAAGGGCCCAGCUGUGUCCUGUCUGUGCUGUGACCCCUCUCCUGAGCUCAUCUAGACUGCUGGCUUCAUCAUUUCAUAUGGAAGCCUAUGUGGAUUUUUUUAAAACACACUUAAGGACCAUUUUAAAACUCUUUUGUCAUCUGGCAGGGAAGCAGUGGAAGGACAAAAGCAGCCACAAUAAACCAGGAACUGGUUAAAUGGCAGAGGGAUUGCAAGCCAAGAAGGGACCAACCUGCCAGGAGGACAAUAGCACAAGGCUACAUUAGUAGAGUGCCAGCUAUCAGAUCCAUCUCGGUGUGGAGCAUGACUCACUGUUUUUAAAGGAGCUAUUUCCAUCUUAGAAAAUGGCUCCUAUAUUUUAUAAAGGGUCUUCCCAGCUUUGGUUGAGGAGAGAAAAGAAAAAGUGAAGGGAUACUUUUUCCUAGUCGAGGCGAAUCAAACUUUCCUUCAAGUAGCUGAGCAAGGAAAUCAGCGCCUUAUGUGUUCCCAAGAAUAAUACAAUCCAGUAGUUUUGGGGGGAGAAAAGAAGUUGGAAUAAAACAGCAUUGCUUUUCCCAGUUCAGCACUCUGAAUAAUGAGCCUGUAAACCGGGGGGAGAGCUCCCGAGAGGCGCCUGCGUACCGGAGAUGGACACAACAAGUGUCUCAGAUGGGUCGGUAUCUGAAGCGAUCUCUCUCUAAUUUUCUACAUCAGUGAGAGCACAGCACGGCACCAUCAAUCAUAGUCAACCUCCCUUUGGAAAGGCACCUCCUACCUCGCUGUUCUGUGGUGUCCCCCUGUGCUCCUGCCUGUGCUGGGGACCGCAGGUGUCCUGGGCAGCAGCACUGUCCCUCUCAGGGGGCUCUCAUUCCUUGUGUUUGAGCCUGCUCGUGCUUCUGCCUGUCUCCUUCCUCCACCCCUGGCACCUGCUCCUUGCCAUCACUUCAUUUCCAGAUGCGUCUUCCCCUCCUGGAGACAGAAAAGGCCAAAUGCUCCCUUUAUCCCCGAUGAGGAGGUGUGGGGCUGCCUUACUUGGAAUAAAGCCACUGUGUGCUGCCUGGGGGAGGCCUGAGGGUGGACUUGGUGCUUGUUCUGCUCAUCUGAAGAUGGGGAGGUUGGGCUUUGCAGUUCCCAUGGAGCCAUCAGGGCAUGCUCCGGGGUUUGCUCGGCUCCAGCUCCUUUUCCCCAGCUCAGGACAUGGAGCAGCUUUCAUGCUGUGCUUGUGAUGCAAUGCAGCUGCUCUUGGUCCCUCAGCUCUCUUUUUUGUGGAACCCCCUGCUCCUUCCUGGCCUGCCUGUGCUUCUGCCAGACCCAGGGGCACUGCUUUGGCAAGAACACUGGUGGUGGUCUUCUCCUGGCCAGGCACACUCCUAGGCUGGCCAGAAGGCAGGUGGGACACAGAUCUGUGCCUGUGGCUGUUUCUUCUACUGUAGCACAGACAUAGCUGGUGGCUUUGCUGCCUCUUGCUUCUUCAUCUCCCUCAUGUGCUAAAUUGGGCUCUCUUCCUCAGUUGUGGUGGCUCUUGGACCUAUCAAAACCUGGCUGACUUGUUCCUGGUAUCAUGACACAGAAGUUGUUUGCAGCCCCAUAUCUGACUCUGUGAGCUCAAGCUCCAGGUAGAAAACCAAGGACUGAGCUGCUUUCUUGAGCACAGCCUCGGAGAGAAGCAUUUUCAGAAGAAACUCUUGCAAUUGCCACCUCCCUCUCAGCCUCUUCACUGGUUUCUGAGAGCUGCUGAGCAUCCUUGACCUCUCUCUCAGGCAUGGUUCCCUGCACGUAUCAGCCCUGCUCCAGUGUUGUGGAGCUGUUGCUGGCGUCUGUAAUAGCUGCGUUGUUUACUUCCCAAGUGCCUGGCCUUUCUGUAAUGAGCUGUAAUUCAUCCUGGUUUAUACAGGCUCAGAUAUACCUGGAGCAAGGAGGGUGUGCCAUUAAACCACCUUCUAGACUGCUAUCUGGACCCUGGAUUGCUGAUCCCCUGGAGAUGUAAAACAGGGAGGACAAGGGGGAUCAGAUGGAAAUGGGGAAUAAUUACCUUGCAGGGCAAAGGGGGCUGGCUGGGUUGGAAACUGCUGGGAGCUGACAUACAGGUACAGAUGGAUGGUUACGGCAGGCAGGGCGGAGGGAUGAAAGAUGCCUUUUUAAAGCAUCUGCCUCCCUCUCUUCCUCUGCUUUAUAACCUGUUUUUAUAGAGACUGCAUGAGGAACACAUUUUAUUUUAUUAGCAGCUUGGGAGUGGAGAGUAAUAAAGAUUAAUUUUUUUAAAUAA
Non-coding RNA from Cyanistes caeruleus (blue tit), 11044 nucleotides. Lineage: Eukaryota; Metazoa; Chordata; Aves; Passeriformes; Paridae. The record is from RefSeq and is a predicted model, not a curated record.